CCGAUCCCAUCUCGAACUCGGCCGUGAAACCUGACAGCGCCAAUGGUACUUACGCUCAAGCGUCGGAAGAGUAGGACGUCGCCAGGC
RNAcentral lists this ribosomal RNA (87 nucleotides) under Novosphingobium aureum. The record is from RNAcentral. Lineage: Bacteria; Pseudomonadati; Pseudomonadota; Alphaproteobacteria; Sphingomonadales; Sphingomonadaceae.